GCUCUGCAACGAGUUGUGUUGGUC
Molecule: non-coding RNA, 24 nt
Filed under: Arabidopsis thaliana (thale cress)
Lineage: Eukaryota; Viridiplantae; Streptophyta; Magnoliopsida; Brassicales; Brassicaceae
Source: RNAcentral